Molecule: long non-coding RNA, 1503 nt
Filed under: Bos grunniens (domestic yak)
Lineage: Eukaryota; Metazoa; Chordata; Mammalia; Artiodactyla; Bovidae
Description: lncRNA (ENSBGRG00000005514.1)
Source: RNAcentral
AGGCAGUUGGUCACCUGCUCACCACCUUCAAGGUCUUCCCAUAACUGCCACCAGGGGGCGGCAGCAGCUCGCUCAGUAGGCUUCUGUAAACGAGCUUCCCCAAAAGGCUCCGUGCCCUCCCGCGGAUGUCUUACCUCGGUCCCUGACCUGUUUGUUCCCUGGGCCCAGCCCGCGGACUCCCUGGACCCGUCAGCCGUGCCUAAGGCCCCCAGCCGGCCUGCUACCCUGCCCUGCACAGGUUUCCAAAAUGCCGCCGCCUCACGGCCGAGGUCCUCCGCAGUUCCCAAGGCCGGUCCGGGAGCGGCGAGCCGGGCCUCCGCAGUGGGUUCCAGGUUCCCGGGCUCACCGUGCGCUCGCCCUUCGUCCAGCUGCGGGCCGCUUCGCGCCCCGCGAUGCGCCCUCCCCGCUAGCUCUUCGGGAACGGCCUGGCACCAAAGCGUGGACGCACCCACACCCGAGUGCCCCUCAGGGCGCUGCAGGCCCGGCUCGGGAGGGGCGCCGCAUCUGUAUGCGCCCGGCGGCCAGCAGCGCCGAGGGGGCGGGCACCAGGCGCCGCCCCCGCCCUCGCCGCGCGGCCCGGGCUGGCCGGGGAGGGUCGGAGGCUGGGCUCUCCUCUCCCGCGCGGCGCGGAGCCGCCUCGCUCCUCCGCAGGCGGAGCCUCCUUCCCCCGCCCCCUCCGUCUCGCUCCCUUGUUCUCGCCGGGGCCGCUCAGACCUGCAGCGGAGCCGCGGCGCCCGCUCCGAUCGGCUCGGGGCUGCGCCCCCGGGACCCGGCGACGGGGGCGGGCGGGAGCGCUCCCCGCCAAGCUGGGUCCCUAGGCACUGCCAGGUAAGGGCGUCUGCCCUGGAGCCCACGGUCGGGAAUCCGCGAAGGGGCAGCAGGGGGCCCGCAGCCUGCGGGUGUCUUCAGAGCGGUGAGCGGUGCGCUCCGCGGCUGGGAGCCACUGCCGGCUCCCUUCUCCCGCGCUCUACCGCUUUCCCUUCUUCCCUCGUACCUCUUUUCCUCUUUUUCCCAUUUUCCUCUCCCUCGAUUUCUCUUCAUCCUGCCUCCUCUUCUGCCUGUUUGCUUUUUGUGCCCCUUCCCUGUCUCCCCAACCCUUCUCUCUCCCUCUUGUCUUGCUCCAUCUCCUCUUCCUCUUUGCCUUUUUCUUCCUUCACCUUUCUCUCCUUUCCUGUCUUCCUUUUCCCGCUUUCCUUUCUCUCCCCGAUCCUUCCCUCUCCCCUCCUCUCCUCUUCCCUUCCCGCUAUCCUGUUUCCCACUCCUCUAUCCCCUGCCUUCUCUUCGUCCCGCCUCCCUCCCAGGUCCCCGGCUUCCCUCCGGCUUCCCUCUUCCCUCGGGAAGGAAAGGACUGUCAGGUGUGUGUCUGCUCUGGGGGAGGAGGGGCGCAGCCACAGCCACUUGAGGGGUCCCCCCAGGAGGAGAAGGGGGAGACAGCGGUGGGAAGGGUCCUCUCUCUACCUUCCUUCCCUCAUCCCCUCCCAGCUGCCCCCUCUCCCAGAAUGA